Molecule: long non-coding RNA, 606 nt
Filed under: Ictidomys tridecemlineatus (thirteen-lined ground squirrel)
Lineage: Eukaryota; Metazoa; Chordata; Mammalia; Rodentia; Sciuridae
Description: lncRNA (ENSSTOG00000030766.1)
Source: RNAcentral
CGCCCGCCGCCGCCCGCCUCCGCCCACCUCCUUCCCGCGCAGCCGACCAGGCAGCAAUUACGCUUUGGGGAUAAAACGAGGCGCGGAGAGCAGGCCGGGGCAUUCCUCCCCGAGAUGGCGAUGGCGGGUCUGACGGCGGCGGCCCCGAGGCCCGGAGUCCUGCUGCUCCUGCUGGCCCUCCUCCACCCCGCGCAGCCCGGAGGGGUCCCAGGGGCUGUUCCCGGUGGAGUUCCUGGAGGAGUCUAUUAUCCAGGGGCUGGUCUCGGAGGCCUGGGAGGAGGAGCUCUGGGGCCCGGAGGCAAACCACCCAAGCCAGGUGCAGGACUCCUGGGGGCAUUUGGAGCAGGGGCAGUUACAGACCCAUCUUACAGAGGGACUGCCUGAGCUUCCCAAGGCCCAGGCCACGCAAUUAAGAAGUGAGUGGGGCCAGGCACAGUGGUGCCCACCUGUAAUCCCAGCGGCUCAGGAGGCUGAAGCAGGAGGAUCGAAAGUUUGAGUCCAGCCUCAGCAACUUAGUGAGGCCAUAAGCAACCUAGUGAGACCCUGUCUCAAAAUAAAAAAUAAAAAGGGCUGGGUUUGUGGCUUGGUGGUUAAGCAUCCCAGGUU